Molecule: ribosomal RNA, 446 nt
Filed under: uncultured bacterium
Lineage: Bacteria
Description: partial 16S ribosomal RNA
Rfam family: Bacterial small subunit ribosomal RNA
Source: RNAcentral
CCUACGGGCUGCAGCAGUCGAGAAUCAUUCACAAUGGGGGAAACCCUGAUGGUGCGACGCCGCGUGGGGGAAUGAAGGUCUUCGGAUUGUAAACCCCUGUCAUGUGGGAGCAAAUUAAAAAGAUAGUACCACAAGAGGAAGAGACGGCUAACUCUGUGCCAGCAGCCGCGGUAAUACAGAGGUCUCAAGCGUUGUUCGGAAUCACUGGGCGUAAGGCGUGCGUAGGCUGUUUCGUAAGUCGUGUGUGAAAGGCGCGGGCUCAACCCGCGGACGGCACAUGAUACUGCGAGACUAGAGUAAUGGAGGGGGAACCGGAAUUCUCGGUGUAGCAGUGAAAUGCGUAGAUAGCGAGAGGAACACUCGUGGCGAAGGCGGGUUCCUGGACAUUAACUGACGCUGAGGCACGAAGGCCAGGGGAGCGAAAGGGAUUAGAUACCCGUGUAGUC